AUUGAACGCUGGCGGCAUGCUUUACACAUGCAAGUCGAACGGCAGCGCGGGCUUCGGCCUGGCGGCGAGUGGCGAACGGGUGAGUAAUGCAUCGGAACGUGCCCAGCAGUGGGGGAUAGCCCGGCGAAAGACGGAUUAAUACCGCAUACGACCUGAGGGUGAAAGCGGGGGACGGAAAGGCCUCGCGCUAUUGGAGCGGCCGAUGUCGGAUUAGCUAGUUGGUGGGGUAAAGGCUUACCAAGGCGACGAUCCGUAGCUGGUCUGAGAGGACGACCGGCCACACUGGGAGUGGACCACGCCCCAGACUCCUACGGGAGGGAGCAGUGGGGAAUUUUGGACAAUGGGGGCGACCCUGAUCCAGCCAGGCCGAGUGCGGGAAGAAGGCCUUCGGGUUGUAAACCGCUUUUGUUCGGGAAGAAAUCCUCUGGGCUAAUACCCCGGGGGGAUGACGGUACCGGAAGAAUAAGCACCGGCUAACUACGUG
Molecule: ribosomal RNA, 484 nt
Filed under: uncultured bacterium
Lineage: Bacteria
Description: partial 16S ribosomal RNA
Rfam family: Bacterial small subunit ribosomal RNA
Source: RNAcentral